UCAGAAUUACUUAUAUGAAUUUUCAGUAGUGAAAUCAUCGAUGGCCUCUCCAGAUCUAUCGGGACCCUUUUAAAUUUACUGUUUCCAUUUGUCAAACUUCUUUGUUAAUUUGUAGAUAAUAUCCAGGGAUUAGACAUUGCAACAUCCUAAGGUGGUUUCACGAAAGAAUCACAACCCUUCUAGUUUCACCCUUAAAUAAAAAGCCUUCAAAUGGCAUGUUCAU
Molecule: long non-coding RNA, 223 nt
Filed under: Elaeis guineensis (African oil palm)
Lineage: Eukaryota; Viridiplantae; Streptophyta; Magnoliopsida; Arecales; Arecaceae
Description: long non-coding RNA (EGUI_LNC008015)
Source: RNAcentral